AGCGAACGCUGGCGGCAGGCCUAACACAUGCAAGUCGAACGAACUCUUCGGAGUUAGUGGCGGACGGGUGAGUAACCCGUGGGAACGUGCCUUUUGGUUCGGAAUAACUCAGGGAAACUUGUGCUAAUACCGAAUGUGCCCUUCGGGGGAAAGAUUUAUCGCCAUUAGAGCGGCCUGCGUCUGAUUAGCUAGUUGGUGAGGUAACGGCUCACCAAGGCGACGAUCAGUAGCUGGUCUGAGAGGAUGACCAGCCACACUGGGACUGAGACACGGCCCAGACUCCUACGGGAGGCAGCAGUGGGGAAUCUUGCGCAAUGGGCGAAAGCCUGACGCAGCCAUGCCGCGUGAAUGAUGAAGGUCUUAGGAUUGUAAAAUUCUUUCACCGGGGACGAUAAUGACGGUACCCGGAGAAGAAGCCCCGGCUAACUUCGUG
Molecule: ribosomal RNA, 433 nt
Filed under: uncultured bacterium
Lineage: Bacteria
Description: partial 16S ribosomal RNA
Rfam family: Bacterial small subunit ribosomal RNA
Source: RNAcentral